AAGGCGAGGCCGAAAGGCGUAGUCGAUGGGAAACGGGUUAAUAUUCCCGUACUUGGUGUUACUGCGAAGGGGGGACGGAGAAGGCUAUGUUGGCCGGGCGACGGUUGUCCCGGUUUAAGCGUGUAGGUGUGUGUUCCAGGUAAAUCCGGUUCACUUUAACACUGAGGCGUGAUGACGAGGCACUACGGUGCUGAAGCAACAAAUGCCCUGCUUCCAGGAAAAGCCUCUAAGCAUCAGGUAACACGAAAUCGUACCCCAAACCGACACAGGUGGUCAGGUAGAGAAUACCAAGGCGCUUGAGAGAACUCGGGUGAAGGAACUAGGCAAAAUGGUGCCGUAACUUCGGGAGAAGGCACGCUGACACGUAGGUGAAGUGAUUUACUCAUGGAGCUGAAGUCAGUCGAAGAUACCAGCUGGCUGCAACUGUUUAUUAAAAACACAGCACUGUGCAAACACGAAAGUGGACGUAUACGGUGUGACGCCUGCCCGGUGCCGGAAGGUUAAUUGAUGGGGUCAGCGCAAGCGAAGCUCCUGAUCGAAGCCCCGGUAAACGGCGGCCGUAACUAUAACGGUCCUAAGGUAGCGAAAUUCCUUGUCGGGUAAGUUCCGACCUGCACGAAUGGCGUAAUGAUGGCCAGGCUGUCUCCACCCGAGACUCAGUGAAAUUGAACUCGCUGUGAAGAUGCAGUGUACCCGCGGCAAGACGGAAAGACCCCGUGAACCUUUACUAUAGCUUGACACUGAACAUUGAGCCUUGAUGUGUAGGAUAGGUGGGAGGCUUUGAAGUGUGGACGCCAGUCUGCAUGGAGCCGACCUUGAAAUACCACCCUUUAAUGUUUGAUGUUCUAACGUGGACCCGUUACCCGGGUUGCGGACAGUGUCUGGUGGGUAGUUUGACUGGGGCGGUCUCCUCCUAAAGAGUAACGGAGGAGCACGAAGGUUGGCUAAUCCUGGUCGGACAUCAGGAGGUUAGUGCAAUGGCAUAAGCCAGCUUGACUGCGAGCGUGACGGCGCGAGCAGGUGCGAAAGCAGGUCAUAGUGAUCCGGUGGUUCUGAAUGGAAGGGCCAUCGCUCAACGGAUAAAAGGUACUCCGGGGAUAACAGGCUGAUACCGCCCAAGAGUUCAUAUCGACGGCGGUGUUUGGCACCUCGAUGUCGGCUCAUCACAUCCUGGGGCUGAAGUAGGUCCCAAGGGUAUGGCUGUUCGCCAUUUAAAGUGGUACGCGAGCUGGGUUUAGAACGUCGUGAGACAGUUCGGUCCCUAUCUGCCGUGGGCGCUGGAGAACUGAGGGGGGCUGCUCCUAGUACGAGAGGACCGGAGUGGACGCAUCACUGGUGUUCGGGUUGUCAUGCCAAUGGCACUGCCCGGUAGCUAAAUGCGGAAGAGAUAAGUGCUGAAAGCAUCUAAGCACGAAACUUGCCCCGA
This 1426-nucleotide ribosomal RNA is filed under the name Salmonella enterica. RNAcentral describes it as "partial 23S ribosomal RNA". It matches the Rfam family "Bacterial large subunit ribosomal RNA", at positions 1393 to 2802 of the family's 2925-position model. Lineage: Bacteria; Pseudomonadati; Pseudomonadota; Gammaproteobacteria; Enterobacterales; Enterobacteriaceae. The record is from RNAcentral.